GUGGGGAAUAUUGGACAAUGGGCGAAAGCCUGAUCCAGCCAUGCCGCGUGUGUGAAGAAGGUCUUCGGAUUGUAAAGCACUUUAAGUUGGGAGGAAGGGCAUUAACCUAAUACGUUAGUGUUUUGACGUUACCGACAGAAUAAGCACCGGCUAACUUCGUGCCAGCAGCCGCGGUAAUACGAAGGGUGCAAGCGUUAAUCGGAAUUACUGGGCGUAAAGCGCGCGUAGGUGGUUCAGUAAGUUGGAUGUGAAAUCCCCGGGCUCAACCUGGGAACUGCCUCCAAAACUGCAUGACUAGAGUACGGUAGAGGGUAGUGGAAUUUCCUGUGUAGCGGUGAAAUGCGUAGAUAUAGGAAGGAACACCAGUGGCGAAGGCGACUACCUGGACUGAUACUGACACUGAGGUGCGAAAGCGUGGGGAGCAAACAGGAUUAGAAACCCUUGUAGUCC
RNAcentral lists this ribosomal RNA (450 nucleotides) under uncultured bacterium. Its description in RNAcentral is "bacterial SSU rRNA". It matches the Rfam family "Bacterial small subunit ribosomal RNA", at positions 354 to 796 of the family's 1533-position model. The record is from RNAcentral.